This 293-nucleotide ribosomal RNA is filed under the name uncultured bacterium. RNAcentral describes it as "partial 16S ribosomal RNA". It matches the Rfam family "Archaeal small subunit ribosomal RNA", at positions 455 to 747 of the family's 1478-position model. The record is from RNAcentral.
GUGCCAGCCGCCGCGGUAAUACCGGCAGCCCGAGUGAUGGCCGAUAUUAUUGGGCCUAAAGCGUCCGUAGCUGGCUGAACAAGUCCGUCGGGAAAUCCACUUGCUUAACACGUGGGCGUCCGGCGGAAACUGUACGGCUUGGGACCGGAGGGCCCGAGGGGUACGUUCGGGGUAGGAGUGAAAUCCUGUAAUCCUGGACGGACCGCCGGUGGCGAAAGCGCCUCGGGAAGACGGACCCGACAGUGAGGGACGAAAGCUGGGAUCUCGAACCGGAUUAGAUACCCGGGUAGUCC